CAUGUUCACACUCCUUGGAGGAAGAGUAUGAAAUGAGAGUUCUUGAAUUAUGAUGUUUUUCAAAUUUCACCUUUGAGUUUGUAUGUAGAAAGUAUGUCUGCCUUGUUCUUAAGUUUGGGUCCUCCCCCUCCCUCCCCAAAAUCAUCAUCAUCAUCAUCAUCAUCAUCAUCAUCAUCAUGUGCUGUCUCGGAACUUGGUAAGUGUUUGCACAUCAAAUAAUGGGAGCCUUGGCUGUAUUUACAAAUUGUCCCAAACUGUAAAGCGUUGUUGGAGAGAGUCUAGACUGAGAAAUACAGUACAGUGGUACCUUGGGUUACAUACGCUUCAGGUUACAUACACUUCAGGUUACAGACUCCGCUAACCCAGAAAUAUUACCUCGGGUUAAAAACUUUGCUUCAGGAUGAGAACAGAAAUAGUGCUCCGGCAGUGCGGCAGCAGCAGGAGGCCCCAUUAGUUAAAGUGGUGCUUCAGGUUAGGAAUAGUUUCAGGUUAAGAACGGACCUCCGGAACGAAUUAAGUACUUAACCCUAGGUACCACUGUACAAUUUAGGUUUGGCCCUAGCGAGAUGUAGGAAUUUUGUUUGCCUCAGAUGAUGACCAUCUGACCAUUUCUGUGCUAGUGCAGGCUAGCACAAGUUUCAGAAUAUCCCAAAGCCCCAGACAUUCAGUAUACAUCCAGCAUUGGUUGGCUUCUUUCACUAUGAAGGCAUUCUUAGCAUACCUUGCAACAACCUCUGCUAUAUUGGAAGGUCAUGAGCAGCAGCUGCAAUGGUGGUGUGGAAACUCUAGGGAACCAGAGGUAAUAGGAGAGGCUGGGAGCAGAGUGCAUUGCAGUAAGAGCUGCUAAAGAUGUUCAAGCUGUCUUGCUAAGUUUCGACGAGACCUGUUUGCAUAACACUAUUUCAAGUAAUGUAGAAUCACUGAGUUAGAAGGGACCAAAUAACCACCCUCUCUAAUCUGAACCUGUGCCCUAGCAUCGGGGUGUGACAUCUAAUUCCUUGGUCAGCAGCAGGUUUUUCUGGGAGUGGUUUGCAGCAGAGGGACAGAGUCCGACCAUUACUGUCCAAUGAAAAGUAGACUUCUGAUAGUGCAAUGAUUACAGUUGCCUCCUCGAUUUGGCAGACAGAAAAGGGGACACGUGACUCCCUUCAUGGGUCUGUGAUGAGCCUUACACUUUACAACCAGAUGAUGUACCUUACACUAUACAGCAGCCAUGGGGAGUCUUUUUCAAGCAGAAGGCCACAUUCCCCAAUAUGCAACCUUCCAGGAGCUACAUGCCAGUGGCUAGAUGGCAAAAGGUAAAUAGAGCAAUGGGUGUAGUUCUUCAUACAGCCAGUGACAUUUACAGCCAUGCCAAUGCCAGAGGUUUCUCCACCCCUCUCCAUCCUCCAUCCAGGCAAGCAAGAGGCAUUAUCACAGCUCAAGGACACACUCCAGACAGCCAAAGGCACUUGAGGAGAGCACAGUACAGGGCUGAUGAGAAAAUUGUGACCAAAGGAGCAGGUGUGGUCUGGAGAGAGUCUCAAGCACCCCUGAGCCUGAGAUUCCCCACCCCUGAUAUACAGAGAUUCUAGCACUGAUUGUUUCUCUUGCAGCUGGCUCUGAGUAGCUGGCAGCACCUUGGACAGUUCCACGGCUUUUUUAAAAAAGCAAAUCCUCUCAACCCCAAAGCUACAAACCCAGUUUUGUUUGACUUUCUCCCGUUCUGGCAGCUUGAUGCUGGGCAAUUAACAAUACAUCUAAAUCCAUAAAGUCGCUGAUAAAUUUGAAUACGCUGACUAAGUUUUAGCUUUGCAUGCCUGUCCAAAGUAGUUUAAAAUCUCAUCAUUAAGCAGAAGCAGAAAGUGCCUUUUCACACUGGAAUCAAAAUAACUUGCCCAGAAUAAUCAAGUUACUUUCUUUUUGCUAUCAGAAUUAAAUUUAUCGUAUGUUAAAAGAGCAUUGCAUGCCUUAGCCUUAUUAGCAGUCCUUCUCACCAUCUUGAUAAGGGGAACAGAAGUAUACCCACCAACAUUUAUCUGAUGAAAAUAGGGGUGUUCCAUUCCAAAAUGAUAAUUUUACUAUUUAUACCCCACACAUCGUAUUGGGUUGUCCCAGCCACUCUGGGCAGAGCUUCCAACAUAUAUAAAUACAUUUUUAAAAAAUUAAUCUUUUUUUAAAAAAAACCUUCCCUAUACAGGAUUGCCUUCAGAUGGCUCAGGGGUUGGAUAACUCCAUACCCUCCAACAUUUCUCCAAUGAAAAUAGGGACAUUCUAAGGAAAAGCGGGAUAUUCUGGGAUCAAAUCAGAAACUGGGAUGGCUUCUCUAAAACAGGGACAUUUGUAGGGUCUGCAAAAGUGCAUCGCAAAGUCAUUUCACAGGCAGACUAGAUUUUUUUGGAUCCUGAGCAAAUCAGACACAUUUCGUUGCUCAGAAUUAAGAAUAUAAAAUUAAGGCUUGUGACAUCACCAUAAGCAUCAAGAGGAUUGCAGGAAAAGUGAUCUCUUUAUACAUGUGUGUAUAAAGUGGGACAGCACAAUUGCUAAUGGCCAAAUCAUGCAAUUGCUGAUUGACAUCAUGUCUAGUUUCACCCGUAACAGAUAUGAUUAGGGUGUGUACUCCGAGAAUCACAGAUGAUGGCUGAAUGACAUUGGAAAGCAUGCUGUGUACAGAUUUCUAGCAAGAACAGCACCAGCUGCUGUUAUCUGCUUGUAACUAACCUCAUCAUUGUACUGCUUAGUGAACAAACAUGUGUCCAAGCUGUGAUGAUAGCCACAAAGUAUUGCUGGUGGAUGAUAAACAGCAAUACCUCAGGAGCACUGCUGCUUAUUAAGUGUUCCAUAAGCACUUUUAAUUUCUCUGCCACCUUUUGUUUCAGGAAUUCAAAUGCAUUUGCUACAAAUAAAAGGAGACACAAGAGAACACAAACUCUCUCCCCCCCCCAUAUUUGCCCUUUCAAUAUUUGUGCUGCUUAAGCCUGUGUGUCUUACUGUGAUUGUAGCUCUGUGCUUUGAAGCUGUGACCUUCAAGAUCUAAACAAAAGUCAUUGUGGCUUAAAAGCAAAAGCAAUGAACUAACAGAAUGCUAAAUCUGCCCAGACAGGGACUGGGAGAGUUGCUCUGCAAAGAUGAACUGGCUUUUUAAUGUUCCGUAAUCACCUCCUUGAGUUGUUAACAUGUAAAAUGUGCCCCUCUCCCUUUGUUUAGAAAUAACUAUGCAAGACAUGGUGCAUAUCUAACUAAAGCCCAGGCUAUGUCUGGCCUCUUUGUAGUUAAGGAAUUCUACUAGCCCAAGAGCACAUUCUAUUGAUCCUGCAGGAAGACAUGAAAACUUAGGGCCAAACUAGAUAUUUUCUAGGUGUAUAGCAUCUAACUAUCUCACACUGGGGGUGGGGGGGGCAUAGCAACCCUUAUUGGAAAGGCAGUGCAAUGGGCAGGAGACUUAAUAGUUUCUCUCACUAGUGUGAUUGAAAUUAAUUUGCUCUGCAUGACGCUAGGAGCCUUAGAGGGGAAAGUCUCCAUUGAUGCUAACAGGACUUUCCCUGCUAAGGAUCUUAGUCACAUGUGGAAUGGGGGUAACUUUUGUUCUGAUCAUUUUGUGUGUGUGUGUGUGUGUGUGUGUGUGUGUGUGUGUGUGUGAGAGAGAGAGAGAGAGAGAGAGAGAGAGAUAAGAUAAUUCUCUCCAUACACAUUCUGCCUUCUCAAUAAGGAUUCCCCUAGCACCAUGGCACUGUGGGUAAAACCUCAGUGCCUAGGACUUGCCGAUUGUAUGGUUGGCGGUUCGAAUCCCCACGGCGGGGUGAGCUCCCGUCAUUCAAUCCCAGCUCCUGCCCACCUAGCAGUUCGAAAGCACCCCUAAGUGCAAGUAGAUAAAUAGGUACUGUUUUAUAGCGGGAAGGUAACGGCGUUUCCAUGCACUGCGCUGGUGCUGGCUCGCCAGAGCAGCUUCGUCACGCUGGCCACGUGACCCGGAAGUGUCUGCGGACAGCGCUGGCUCCCGGCCUCUUAAGCGAGAUGAGCACGCAACCCCAGAGUCGGACACGACUGGCCCGUGGGCAGGGGUACCUUUACCUUUACCUAGCACCAUGAUGCCUGUAAUUAAGUAAGAAAAAAACUAUAGAUCUAUAACUGCAUGCUAAAUAUUUAGCAAAUGUCUAGUUUAUCCCUUAAAUAUCUCAAUACCUCUACACCUUUUUUUUUCAUUCAGCUUUCUUAGGAAGGGUAUUCACAGAAACAGAAAGCAUUUUCCCCAAUCAGGAAACUCUGGGCAACAUCAGAGGAUUUGUAAUUACAUGAAUUAUUGCUUUGACCCGAUCCAAAGUCAAUUAGAGCACUAUGGAAAAAGAUUUGGUGCCAACAAUUCCAUUCUCUCUCAUCCAAGCAGUUCCCCAUGUGUAAACAGUUUCUUGAAGCUAUGGUGUCAAUUAAAAACUCCUUGCUGAUAUUUAACUGGCUCCCUCUCUAUCCCUUUUUCUCCUUUAAAAAAACGGGGGGGGGGGCCACUCUAGCAAAUAUUGCUGAUCUAGAAAAGAUUUAAAUAUGAGAAUCUAUUUUUUUUUAAGAGAUAGAGCGAGCAGAAGUUUCCGCCCCAAACGUCAGACAAAAUGAAACUUCUGUAUCUGUGUGCAAGCUUUGAUAUUCUCGCUUUAGAAAAUACAUUUUUAUGUUUGCCUUUGAAGUGUGUGCUCUCCAUUCAGCCCAGCUUAGCGGCUGAUAUAUGUCAAAUAUGUGGCAUUUAAAACAUGAAUGGAAUCAAGAUGAUUCUUUGAAGCAAAAUGACGGAUCUCAGACAAAAGUUAACUUGUAGAUCUCGCAGGACAUGUGAUAGCAGGGCUGCUCUUGUUAUACAGAGCAAAGUGGUGACCUUCCAUCACACUUCUAUAGAAAGCUCUAGUGAUUUGGUCCAUGGGGCUACUUAGUACACUGAGUACUAAGGAGGAGUAGUCCAAGAGUAGUUCUAAGCAGGAGUAGUCCAAGAUCUCAGGCUAAGGUUAAUGAUGUACUUGUUCCAGUCUCCAGAUUGACAUUGUCUCCCAGUGACAUUGACCAAAGUACAGCUGGGUCUGGAGGCUAUCAGACUUGCCACAGCUUUCCUAGUAUAGACCAGAACAUCUCUGCCUCCUAGUAUUAUCCAAUGGGGACAGUGGAGAAGGUCAAAUCUAUGUUAUGGCAAACAAGUGGCCUACAGGUUCCAUGAUGAUCCAGUUGACUUCACUGGAAACAUGAUGGGACUUGAAGUUUACUGGAUCUUUAAGCCCCUUUCCAUACAUCCAAACCUUCACCUGAAUUUCACAAUGGAGCACAAGAGAGCAGGGUGGCUGGUGCCCAUUGAAAUGGGUAGGGCAGAAGAUAAGAAGAUCAGCACUAGGUGGAAGCAGAGCCAACUAAUUCCAAUUUUGCUCCCAUCCUCCUCCGUACUGAGUUCUACAAGGGGCAGCAGCAAGAUUGAGGAGAAAUAAUCUGGCAGUCACUUCCACACCCUAGACUGGAUGUAAGUAAGAAAGUAGGCAGGUGGAGGAUGGCUGAGGGCAGAGCAAGGCUGGUGGGGCAAAAACCCAUUUGCCCAAAUCAACCAACCUCUACUGCUGGAGAGUUUUCCUAUCCAGCAGAUGUCUUCUAAAUUAACUUUAUUUUAGAACAUAGCUGUCGACUUACAGAUUUGAAAAUAAGGGACCAGCAGCCUUGAAAAUAAGGGACCAGCAGCCAAAAUAAGGGAUUUUAUUCUACCAGCUGAAAUACGAAGUUAAAAGGGACCAGAUAAUUUUGGAGAGCAGCGCCGGUUUUUAGCCCUUCAUUUCCAGAGGUUGCUGCUCAAGACACCAGCCGAUGAAACACUGCAAUUAAAUAACUACAAGCAGCAACCACUUUUUGCGCAAAACGAAGUUCAAGUUACGAAGAUGCUGCUGCAGUUCUGUAUCUUUUCUCUCAUGUUCCAUCUGCAGCUCUCAAUUCCAUCAGGUGGGGCAGAAGGAAGGGGGGGGAAUAGCGCCCGAAGUAAACCCGCAGAUCAGACUAUCUAUGCUAGUCUACCACCACAAAUCUAUGGGAGAAGCACUUGCGGUUCUUCCCUUGUAGCCCUUGGAACACCUGCCCGUGCCUCCGCCUCCACCUCCUCCUCUUCCUCCUCUCUCUGAACUGCUUUCUCUAUGGUUGCCCUCACUCUCCUCUCAAGGCUCCUCAGCAAUUCAUAGGCCAUGCCAGGCUGCCCAUCUUAUCCGGGUCCUUCGGCGGCAUAGCCGCAGUACUAACGGGAGCGGGAACGGUAGUGACGGGCAGAGGGGAGGCCCCAGGCAGAGACACUCAGUUCGGCAGCCGCGAGGAGGAUGGCGGCGGAAGGGCCCAAGGCUCCCACCAGUCCCAGCAGGGAAGGGUUCCUGGGGGCUGAGGCUGGUGAGAGGAGGCCGGAGGGGGGCGGGCUGGGCAGCCAAGCAACACAGUUGGAGCCUCCCUCCUCCCUGGCCGGCAAGGAGGGAGGGAGAGGAGCUGCUUCCUUUGAAACCCAGGAAAUUUAAGGGACAUCCAUCAAUAAGGGACAGCAGCGGGACAUGGCGCUGGGAUAAGGGACUGUCCCUCUAAAUAAGGGUCACUUGACAGCUAUGUUUUAGAAUUAUAUUGAGGGGGUGCCUGUUCAUUAUUUGCUUGGUACUUCGAAUUAAAAAGGGACAUGCUCUAUCAUGGACUAGUGGCUAAUUAUGGCAUAGUUUGUUCUUGAACUUUACAUAACACAAAAUGGCUGCAGAAGAGGAGAAAGAGAGACAGUGCUGUAAAAUGAUACAGGGGAUGCCCACUCUCAGUGGAAAAUAAGGCCACGUACAUCAGCAGCCGCCAUGCUCACUCAUAAAGAGAAGCGCUCUGCCCCUCUCCUCUGUUCAGAACAGAACAUAAGGAGGGUGUCUGAUCCAGUGAAAUUGAUGGGAUGUAGUUAUGGUUAAUGGGGAAGUGUUGAAUGUAAGAAUGACCAAGCCAGGGCUAACAGGAACUGAGCAGGAAGAGCAAACAGUCUCUUGUGCACAGUGAAUUUUUUUCAGGGGGUAUUUACUGAACCUUUCACAGGUGACAUUGCCUCCUAUGGCAGGCACUGAAUCCACAUCCCCUACUUAAUGUCUGUAGUUGGGCAGCGUGGGAGAUGGUGGCAUUUUAUUAGCACAUAGACAGGAGCUAGCAACCCAAUGAACAAUUCCAGCAAAAUAUGCUGUGCUCUAAAACCUCAAGGUCCUUAGCAGGAGGUUGAGCAAACAAUGACGAAGAGGACCAAGUCAAAUAUUCACAUUUUCAGGUGUAUCAAGUUUCACAUAAAAUUUGAGGAUUACUGCUUCUUGAUUUGCAUAUUUUAAAGCCUCUGUUAAUUAAAUAAGCUAUCCUGCUGAAUUCUAUUUGAACCAAAAAUUGAACAAACUUUGCAAGCUGCUGUCUGCGCUGCCCCCCCCCCCAAUUUAGAGGUAUGUGGGAAAGAAAAUAAGACGGUGUUUUCCUUUGACAAUAUGAUUGCUGGACAUGGCUGAAUCAAAAGUAAAACAAAAGUUAUAGCCCUGACUCCCAACAAAUGGAAGCAGUGGGUAUCUAAGCAGAUUGCUAGAGCAAAGUCUGAGAAGAGGUGACUUAAUUAAAGUUUUUGUAUGUCAUGGAGAAAGUGGAAAGAUAAAAGUUUCCCCUCUCUCAUUAAACACCACAACUCAUUAACAUCCAUUGAGGAUUAAUAUUAGAAGAUUCAGGACACAGAAAAGAAAAUACUUUGUCAUGCAGCACAUAGUUAACUGCGGACCUCACUCCCACAGCUAGCAGAGAUGGCCACCAACCUUGGUGGCUUUAAAAGAAGAUUAGGCAAAUUCAUGGAGGAGAGGACAAUUGAUGGCUACUAGCCAUGAUAGGUAUGCUUUGCCUCCAAAGGAGAAGACAGCAAUGCUUCUGAAUACCAGUUAGCAGGAACCACAGCAGGGUAGACUGCUCUUGUACUCAAAUCCUGCUUCUGGCAGGAUCUGGUUGGCCACUGUGAGUCCAGGAUGUGGGACUAGGUGGGCCAUUGGCCUGAUCCAGAAGGCUCUUCUUAUAUUCUGAAAAUGUUCAGCGCCUCACACCUCUGAUUUUGUUAAAAUGAGUUGCAAGGUUAUAGCACAUUCAUAUACAGUCAUACCUUGGUUCUUGAAUGCCUUGGUACUCGGACCUUUUGGUUCUCGAAUGUUGCAAACCUGGAAGUGAGUGUUCCGGUUUGCAAACGUUUUUCGGAAGUCGAACAUCCGAUCCAGCUUCCGUGGCUUAGAGUGAGUGAAGGAAGCCACGCCUUGGUUGUUGAAUGGUUCCGGAAGUCAAAUGGACUCCUGGAAUGCAUCAAGUUCGACAAUAAAGGUACAACUGUACAGUGGUACCUUGGUUCUCAAAUGCCUUGGUACUCAAACAACUUGGAACCCAAACACUGCAAACCUGGAAGUAAGUGUUCCAGUUUGUGAACUUUUUUUGGAAGUCGAAUAUGCUCCAUUUUGAGUGUUACGCUUCCGAUUUGAGUGCCACACUUCCAUUUGGAGUGCCACACUUCUGUUUGGGGUGUUACACUGAGGUCUGUCUGUUUUUGCUAUUUAUAUUGCGUUUUUGUUUUUGCGGCUCUUUUCUGUUUGUUUUUGUGACUGUGGUGACUGUGUGGAACCCAGUUCAGCUACUGACUGAUGAUUGUGUGACUGCAGUACAUUGUUUAUUGCUUUCAUUUUAUGGAUCAGUGGUCUUGUUAGAUAGUAAAAUUCAUGUUAAAUUGCUGUUUUGCGGUUGUUUUUAAAAGUGUGGAACCGAUUAAUCCAUUUUGCAUUACUUUCUAUUGGAAAGCAUGCCUUGGUUUUGGAACGCUUUGGUUUUGGAACGGAUUUCUGGAACGGAUUAAGUUUGAGAACCAAGGUACCACUGUACAGCCAAAUUGCAACUUACACACAUUUAACUUAUGCAAAUUCAGCUUUAUGUGCUUGGCUUAUAUACACACACCCUUGGGAGAGCAUUUGGAGGUGCAGGUAAAGUGUGUUUUGACUAUACAUAAUUUGGGCUUUAUGCGCUGUCCCCAGAACAUAACUCCUGCCUAAGUUGAGAGUUGACAGUGUAAUCGGAUGUCUAUAUAGUAUUGUUCUUUUUAAUGUUAUCAAAAUAACUUUUAGGGACGAGAGACUGAUGACCAAAUCUUUGGAACAGUGGCUCUGUGAGGUUGCCGAAAUUGGGAAGAUCUCUGCAGUGCUCCAAGGAGCAGUGUGAAGCUUCAACAUCAUCCUGCUCCAUCAUCUCUCUGUGCUGCUAAGCUGGCCACUCAGAUGCAGCAACCACCUCUGGUAGCUAUAGUCCUGCAGAGCAUUUGUCAUUGUGCUGUAUGAUUGAGACCUCUUGAAUAAAGGAAACAGACAAACAUUUCUGAAAA
This is a non-coding RNA of Podarcis lilfordi (Lilford's wall lizard), 9364 nucleotides long. NCBI's taxonomy places the organism in Eukaryota, Metazoa, Chordata, Lepidosauria, Squamata, Lacertidae. The record is from the annotation of a GenBank genome assembly.